GAUCUCUUUACGUAAGCGUCGCGCAUGGAAACAUCGAGCACGCAAAAGAACAUUUAAUCGAACGAAGCUACACUCGCACUACUCCCACGAUUUGUUAUUGUAUUCGAAACAAGAUUGUAUUUCACAUAAGUGUUAUCACCGUCCUUGUUAAUUUCACCUGUCCUUGUUAAUUGCGAGGAAAACAGCGGUUACUAAUUCAUCUCAAUACACACAUCGGCCGAUGCGAUUGUCCCCAUCUUCAUCGAGAGCGAAGAUAGUCGUUCGACCAAGAGCGCCAAACUGGCAGAAACAGCCGUUUGUGACCCCGGACCAACCCUGUGACCUUAACAGGGUUUUCGGUGACUUUCUCGGCCGGGCCGUGACGCGUUACACGUUUCUCUCCGCGGGAAUCCCAGGGAUUCGGGGUCCGGAACGGGGACCGGGAUCGGGAUCGGGAUCGAGUUUUCUUGAUAAUCAAAAUCCAAAAGCGAGUUUCACCGAACCGUACGCAGGGGUACAAGAACGUAUUGCCUAUCGCUUCCGGGACGCUUCUCCUAGAGAAAACUAGUUUCCUCGUCGCGGGACUUUCGCCCGCUCCUCCCGGAGCUUGCUCCCGUAAUUGCCCUAGUCCUUACGAGCUGGACACUGUCCACCUUUUAGGGUGGGAACUUCGCGAGGAAAUACUGGUCCGUGCUGUUUUCGAACAAAACGCUGCGCAAUGUUUCUGUUCGACAAAUACCUGUUCAGACUCACGACGAAGUAGUUGAUACCUGAUUCGAAAUGCUAUAUCAGCUAUUGCGUUCAACGUUCAACGUACGAGUUAACAUAUGGGUUAACGUCUGAAAUUUAUAGGAUAUUUAAACUAGAGUAUAACGAAACGUGUAUCACGACGA
This is a long non-coding RNA of Pogonomyrmex barbatus (red harvester ant), 872 nucleotides long. RefSeq lists it as uncharacterized. The record is from RefSeq and is a predicted model, not a curated record. NCBI's taxonomy places the organism in Eukaryota, Metazoa, Arthropoda, Insecta, Hymenoptera, Formicidae.